Molecule: ribosomal RNA, 571 nt
Filed under: uncultured bacterium
Lineage: Bacteria
Description: partial 16S ribosomal RNA
Rfam family: Bacterial small subunit ribosomal RNA
Source: RNAcentral
UGGGGAAUAUUGCACAAUGGGCGAAAGCCUGAUGCAGCAACGCCGCGUGAGGGACGACGGCCUUCGGGUUGUAAACCUCUUUUAGCAAGGAAGAAGCGAAAGUGACGGUACUUGCAGAAAAAGCGCCGGCUAACUACGUGCCAGCAGCCGCGGUAAUACGUAGGGCGCAAGCGUUAUCCGGAAUUAUUGGGCGUAAAGAGCUCGUAGGCGGUUUGUCGCGUCUGCUGUGAAAACCCGAGGCCCAACCUCGGGCCUGCAGUGGGUACGGGCAGACUAGAGUGCGGUGGGGAGAUUGGAACUCCUGGUGUAGCGGUGGAAUGCGCAGAUAUCAGGAAGAACACCGAUGGCGAAGGCAGAUCUCUGGGCCGUAACUGACGCUGAGGAGCGAAAGGGUGGGGAGCAAACAGGCUUAGAUACCCUGGUAGCCCACCCCGUAAACGUUGGGAACUAGUUGUGGGGGUCCAUUCCACGGGAUUUCCCGUGACGCAGCUAACGCAUUAAGUUCCCCGCCUGGGGAGUACGGCCGCAAGGCUAAAACUUAAAGGAAUUGACGGGGUCAUAGCUGUUUCCU